UCCGAGUUGUAAUUUGUAGAGGAUGUUUUGGGUACCGCCCCGGUUUAAAUUUCUUGGAACAGAAUGUCAAAGAGGGUGAGAAUCCCGUCUUGGACCGGUGGUAGGGCCUGUGUAAAACUCCUUCGACGAGUCGAGUUGUUUGGGAAUGCAGCUCAAAAUGGGUGGUAAAUUUCAUCUAAAGCUAAAUAUUGGCCAGAGACCGAUAGCGCACAAGUAGAGUGAUCGAAAGAUGAAAAGAACUUUGAAAAGAGAGUUAAACAGUAUGUGAAAUUGUUGAAAGGGAAGCGCUUGCAACCAGACUUGAGCGCGACGGUUCCCCUAGCCUUUUGGCUAGGUUACUCCGUCGUGUCCAGGCCAACAUCGGUUCUGAGGGUCGGUCAAAGGCCCCGGGAAUGUACCUACCCACGGGUAGACUUAUAGACCGGGGUGUCAUGCGGCCUCUCGGGACCGAGGAACGCGCUUCGGCUCGGAUGUUGGCGUAAUGGUUGUCAGCGACCCGUCUUGAAACACGGACCAAGGAGUCUAACAUCUAUGCGAGUGUUUGGGUGUCAAACCCGGAACGCGGAAUGAAAGUGAACGGAGGUAGGAAGCUUCGGCUGCACUAUCGACCGAUCCUGAAGUUUACGGAUGGAUUUGAGUAAGAGCAUAGCUGUUGGGACCCGAAAGAUGGUGAACUAUGCCUGAAUAGGGUGAAGCCAGAGGAAACUCUGGUGGAGGCUCGCAGCGGUUCUGACGUGCAAAUCGAUCGUCAAAUUUGGGUAUAGGG
RNAcentral lists this ribosomal RNA (766 nucleotides) under Phialophora verrucosa. Its description in RNAcentral is "eukaryotic LSU rRNA". It matches the Rfam family "Eukaryotic large subunit ribosomal RNA", at positions 137 to 922 of the family's 3401-position model. The record is from RNAcentral. Lineage: Eukaryota; Fungi; Ascomycota; Eurotiomycetes; Chaetothyriales; Herpotrichiellaceae.